Molecule: ribosomal RNA, 478 nt
Filed under: uncultured bacterium
Lineage: Bacteria
Description: bacterial SSU rRNA
Rfam family: Bacterial small subunit ribosomal RNA
Source: RNAcentral
UGCAGUCGACGGUAACGCGGAGAGCUUGCUCUCUGGCGACGAGUGGCGGACGGGUGAGUAACGCGUGGGAAUCUGCCUAGUAGUGGGGGACAACUCGAGGAAACUCGAGCUAAUACCGCAUACGCCCUACGGGGGAAAGCGGGGGAUCUUCGGACCUCGCGCUAUUAGAUGAGCCCGCGUCGGAUUAGCUAGUUAGUGAGGUAAAAGCUCACCAAGGCGACGAUCCGUAGCUGGUCUGAGAGGACGAUCAGCCACACUGGGACUGAGACACGGCCCAGACUCCUACGGGAGGCAGCAGUGGGGAAUAUUGGACAAUGGGGGAAACCCUGAUCCAGCAAUGCCGCGUGUGUGAAGAAGGCCUGCGGGUUGUAAAGCACUUUCAGUGAGGAAGAAAAGCCUGGGGUUAAUACCCCCGAGUCUUGACGUUACUCACAGAAGAAGCACCGGCUAACUCCGUGCCAGCAGCCGCGGUAAUACG